RNAcentral lists this ribosomal RNA (822 nucleotides) under uncultured bacterium. RNAcentral's name for it is "bacterial SSU rRNA". It matches the Rfam family "Bacterial small subunit ribosomal RNA", at positions 12 to 811 of the family's 1533-position model. The record is from RNAcentral.
UUUGAUCAUGGCUCAGAAUGAACGCUGGCGGCGUGCUUAACACAUGCGAGUCGAACGAGAAAGGUCUCUUCGGAGACCGAGUAGAGUGGCGCACGGGUGAGUAACACGUGGAUAAUCUACCUUCGAGAUUGGGACAACCAUUCGAAAGGAUGGCUAAUACCGUAUAAAGUAUAUUGUUAUCAAGAUGAUAUAUGAAAGACAGCCUCUGUAUAUGCUGUUGCUUGGAGAUGAGUCCGCGCACCAUUAGCUAGUUGGUGGGGUAAUGGCCUACCAAGGCAUCGAUGGUUAGCUGGUCUGAGAGGAUGAUCAGCCACACUGGAACUGGAACACGGUCCAGACUCCUACGGGAGGCAGCAGUGAGGGAUUUUGCGCAAUGGGGGAAACCCUGACGCAGCAACGCCGCGUGAGUGAAGAAAGUCUUUGGGUCGUAAAGCUCUGUCAACAGGGAAGAAGUUAUUAUACUUUAAUAGAGUAUGGUAUUGACGGUACCUGUGAAGGAAGCACCGGCUAACUCCGUGCCAGCAGCCGCGGUAACACGGGGGGUGCAAGCGUUAUUCGGAAUUAUUGGGCGUAAAGGGCGCGUAGGCGGUUUUGUCAGUCAGAUGUGAAAGCCCGGGGCUCAACCCCGGAAGAGCAUUUGAAACAGCAAGACUUGAGUACGGGAGAGGAAAGCAGAAUUCCUGGNGUAGAGGUGAAAUUCGUAGAUAUCAGGAGGAACACCGAUGGCGAAGGNAGCUUUCUGGACCGAUACUGACGCUGAGGCGCGAAGGCGUGGGUAGCGAANAGGAUUAGAUACCCUGGNANUCCANGCAGUAAACGAUG